Molecule: long non-coding RNA, 179 nt
Organism: Thalassophryne amazonica
Lineage: Eukaryota; Metazoa; Chordata; Actinopteri; Batrachoidiformes; Batrachoididae
Exons: 3
Source: RefSeq, a predicted model, not a curated record
UAUUCUUUGAGACAGCACUCUGUGAACAGCCUUUUCAGCCAUGACCUUCUGUGGUUUACCCUCCUUCUGUGUCUUCUGGACAACUGUCAAGUCAGGAGUCUUCCCCAUGAUAGUGGUUGUGUGUACUGAACCAGACUAAGAGAUUCAUGGUAUUUAUACUGCAUAAAUAGUGAGUUUCU